GUUUAAUCUUAAGCCAUUUUUCUUCCCUAAUUACCUCUCCCUCUGUAUCUUUCUACUCCUAUGUAGGUGUAGUACUUAGCUGUCUCUGCUGUCUACCCUUUCAGCGUAUUUAGGUCUCCGUUUUUAACAAAAGAGUAAAUCUCAGGGCUAAGAGUUUUGAUUGUUCCUUUUUAUAAUAUUCAGUUCUGUGUAUUCCACAAUGAUUGGAAAUAUGAGUGGCUUGGUUUUUUGUUUUUUAAAGCUAAAUCUAACUCUUUGUGCUAAAUUUAAUCAUUGACUUUCUGUAGCUAUUUAAUAAUCUCCUUGACAGAUUUUUAGGAGUUUGGGAUUGUCUUUGUCAAAUUCUCUUAACAAGUUUUGAUCAAUUAUUUAUAUAUGAGAAUUUCUUGUUUUCCUAACCUUGUUGCUAAGAGAUAUGCUUUAAAGCAAAAUAGACUUGUUGUCAAAGGCUAUGACCAAUUUUCACCCCUUGGGAUAUAUAUCCAGUGUUUGCAAAUGCAUUUACUUAUUUUUGCGUGGAAAUGCAGACUUCGAGUUGGCAGUUUUCCUGCCUUCUAUUUAUACCCUUCCUCUUGCUCUCAGCCAGAAUUUACUGGGUCAGUUGAGUGGUGCUAAAAGAUUCUUAUAACGUGAAUUCUACUGUUUGGGAAAAGAUGUUAGGGUAAGAGGCUAGUCUAGCAAAUACGUGAAACAGAGCAAGUACUUUUAACAUUGCAAUUUUAGUCAGUUUUUUCUUUUCAUCCAUUCCAUGAAUAGUAUUUGAAUAUUGUGUUUUAGGCACUGAGUAGGUACUAGGGAUAUAGAAAUUAAAAUGUAGUCCCUCCUUUCAUUUAACUUGGAGGCUGGAAGGCCAGUAUAUUUGUGCAAACAAAUUUUAGCUUGUGGAGAGUUCAUGCUGUAAUGGAUUUGCCAGCAUAAGUGUCACAUGCAAGCAGUUUAGUAUGGCUGGAGAAGAUGAUGUUUAUAGGCAAGGGAUGGAAGAUAAUGCUAGCAGAUGACUUUGUGAAGCCAAGGAAUUUGAAUUUUAUUCUCAAAGAUUAGGACUGCCUAGUAUAAUUCUGGCAUGUCGUAGUUGUUUGGUAAAUAUUAAACUGAAGUACCAUAUUCUUUACUUGGACACUUAGUGAACAACUCCAGACUGAGAAUUAAUUUUUUAACUUAAAAUUUUAGUCCAUAUUAAAUCUAUGCUAGAGUUAUAUGUAAUUUUUAAAAAACUGGCAUGACACAAAUUUGUAUCCAAGAAUAUUUUAAAAUUAAAUUCACUUUCUCCAUGCUUGGGUGAUAGAGUUAUUUUUAAUAAUUAUUUGCAAAGUGAAUUUAUUUUUUUUAACUACAGAGUAGUGCAACUCAUCUGCACUGUGAUAAAGAUCCUGGAAACUGGAAUCAGGCAGAGUUGGGAUUCUUUGCAGCGUACGGUGACCAUGGGCAAGUUAUUUAGCUUCCCUAAACCUCAUCUGUAAAAUGAGGUGGAUAGCUGCUGCCACCGGAGCCUGAAGUGGUUCUUGUGAGUAUAAAAUUAGAGAAGAUCCUUGUAAAUUAGAGUGUGCAUUGAGCACCUACUCAAAAGACUAUCAAGAUUUCAGUAUGUUUUGUUUGGAGGAGCCCCUCCUCACUAGAUGUACACAAAAUCCCAUAGGAUUCAGCUAGUACCAGGAAACUAUGGAAGUGGCCUGGUCCCCAUUCUCUGGUGGAAGCAAUUCCUCCAUUCUGGUGCUUCUGCCUGGCUAGUGCCUCCUGUGUCUUUUGGGUACAGAUGCUCCAGCCAGCUCAGAGAUGCUCCCCACAGAGGUCUCCCCCGCCCCACCCCGAGGCCGACCGCAGGUUUAGCCUCAAGACUCUCACCUCUGCUUCAGGGCCUCAGAUAUCAGUGCCCAUCUGCUUCCAUAAAUGCCCCCACCACUGUGCUCCAUUGCACAUCUGCAGUCUGUCUGGAGGAUGAGCCUCUCUCCCAACAACUCCCACCUCUUCAUUUUCCAGUCAUUGCUCUCAAUCCAUCAGAUUUCCAAACCAAAGCCUGACUGAGGAGUUGUCUUGUAGGCCUUGUCAGCUUCUCUUUUCAGCCCAGAAACUCCAAAAGCAAUGAUACCCAUGGACAGGAGAGACUCAAGCUCAGAAUAGGAUUGUGUGACUGUCUUCUUGGAAUAGUGGAAGGGAAAACAUCACUCCUCCUUUUGAGUCUCUUUCAGCAGCAGAUAUCCCAAAUAAUCAUGCCAAUUAGGAAGAGAGCUUAGAUGGGCGCCUGGCAUAUAGUCAUCUCACAAUAACUGUUAACUAUUAGCAUUAUUAUUUUUAUUAGCAUCCCUUUUGGAUAAUAGGCAAAGACUCAGAGUAAUCUCAGUAACUUAAAUUAUCCAACUAGAAAAGUAACUAGAGAAACUGAAGCUGUGUAAAGAAAGAAAGCUAAAUUGUUAAAGGGAUGAAAAAAAUCAGGCUUUGGGAGAAAGCACUUGGAUUACUCAACACGGAAAAAAAUUACUCAAAUUAACAAAAAUUACUCAAGAUAACAAAAUUACUAAAAUGAAAAAAAUCGAAGGCUCACAUUUGUCUUUGAGCAUGUGACAGCUUAUGGUGCAGUCCCUAAUCAGCUGUUCUUCAUCAACCCCAGAAUUUAAAGCAACAGGUAGUAACUUGAAUUGUGAGAUUUUGGCAAGUCACACACACACACAAAAGGUAUCAAACAAAAAGCAUCAAAUACUUACUCAACCCAGAAUGUUAGUAGAAGCUGUGAAUGCCCCGACUCUAGAUGUGCUUCAGGCAGUUGCAGGGGCCACCUGCUUGGAAACAAGGACUGGCGUAGUUGAUGCAUCAGGUCCUCAACAUUAUGAUGAUUCUACCCAUCAGUGUAGAAUGAUACUGUGUAGACUACAUUGUCGCUUCAUGGCUGACCCCAAAAAUCAUGUUUUCUCAUCUGUGAUGGAGCAUUUCCAUCUCAGUUGAAUAGUCAGGAGAUUUGGCAUGAAGGAAGGUCCUGUUCUGCGUAUCAGGAACCUAGCUAGGUUCAUAUCUUUGCUUUUAGGCUGAUUUCCUAGGGGAUCUGUAGUAGCCAUUUACUCUAUCUGAAUAAAGAUGGGACAGAAUUAGAAUAAUUUGAUCUGUUCCCAUUGAGCUUUACCAUUCUGAGACUUUUUUCUUUUACAUUUUCUUUUCCUACUGCUAAUGAGCAAUAGAAUUAAAAAUCUUUUUAUUCUCAGAGAGUAGACUGUGAUUGUAAUUUCCUAAUAGAAAUACUCAAUUUACAAGCAUCUAGUUUUUAACAGGCAAUUCAGAAAGAUUAUCUUGUGGAGAAAUUUAGGUGCUUCGCUAUUCUAACAAAAGUCUCUUUUAAACAGUUCUAAUUUAAGGGAAGCUAUUUUUCAUGGGACUGGUAAUUUAGAACACUUUGGUUUGUUAUUGUGGCCCAUCUCUUUAGCAAAUUAGGCUUUUUCACUUCUCCCAAAUGAGCUUUCAUUUGUUUGGAGUUGGUAGGAUUAAGCUGUCGCACUUUUAAACAAAGCCUUGAUGUCAAGACAAGACACUCUUCAGGUUUUACUAAUUUUUUGAAAUCAGUCUGUUUUGAUUCAGCCAUUUUGCUGUCUGCCCAUGGAGUUAACCAGAUUGUAUCUCAAUAGUAGGCCCUUAUUUUAAAACUCUAGGAAGGUAAGUUUCUUUUUCCAUUGAUCUUCCACCCAUACCUAAAAUGCAGUUCAGAAUGGCAACUCCUUUCUUACUUUCUGUGGGAUUACCUCAUUCUAAAUAGGUGAAUCUCAGGAUUGAGAGACAGGAUCUUGACUCGUUUCCAUGUUCUAAUCCCUGCGAGGCAUUGGCCUCUGAAUGCCAUCUUGCCAGAGAGCAAGAAAACCUCUGCACUUGGCUCUUUGUGCAUUGUUUAGUCUGACCUUCUGUUUACAACUUACUUUUACCUUCCUCUUUAAGCACCUUACUAAAAUGUUAGAUAGGCACAUAAUGUAAGUCACCUUAAACCGGCCUCCAUAAUGGAACAUCACUUCUGUAUAGCUAGGUUGUAAGCUGCUCUUCAAAACAAAGUCUGUCUUGACCAUUUUCAUAGGUUCCAAAGCAGGUAGUGUAGGUCUUUGAACAUACUUACUCACCGAAGGGAGGAUGAAGAGUGAGCAGCAGAGCGAAACCAAAAAGUUUAUUAAGAGUGUGAUAUCUUCACGAUGGGCUCAACCCUAACUGCAUGUUACAGUAACCUGGACACUUAAAAGAAAACCUGACAUCUUUGUCCCACUCCUGAGAGCCUGAGAAGAGAAUUUUUUUUGACGACUGCCCCCCAACACUAGUUACUCUUGGGUAGUCAGAAUUGUUGUCAUUAAAAAAUUGGUCAACAUUAUCAAAAACAUUUAGACAGUGAUGAAGAAAGACACUGUCACUGGGUACAUGAUUGCAGAGGCUAUAACAAAUAUGUCUUCUAUGUUAAUAACUUAAAAUUUUGUAUCCUAAAUAAUGUACCACUUUUUUCUAUCUUAAUUUAUUAGUUUUUUGGCACUUCUCUCACCCAAGAUCUUGUUGAUCCCUGUUAGAUGCUGGCAGCACGACUCCCUGGCCUCAUUCCAGACAUUGGUCACCAAGUCCGCUAUUACAUUGGAUGAUUAAAGGUAUGUGGAUAUCAAGGAGAGAGCAGGCAGGGAAUUACAUUUGAUGGGCUCCAUUAGUCUUCUGUGGUUCAGGUAAGGUCAGCACAGGAUAUUGUUCAAACUCUAAAUUCUGGUACUUUGUUCCUGGGCAUAGAUGCUCUAACAUUCAGAGGUUUUUGCUGCCUUUUGAAAGGUGUCAAACUCAUAAUCUCACACAGAGUACACCAGAAUGAGGGACACUGACCAGCUCUAACCCAUCUCUAGGCACUAGGUCAUCUUGUCUCAAAAGACCUGUAUAAAAGUAGGCUAUUUCAUGCAAGGAAACUGCAGUUAGGAAAAUUACAUAUGUGCUUUAGACCACUCACAGGUAAAGGGUGGUGCCUGGUCAGGAGCUCUGGUUUUGCUCUUAACCCUUACACAGCCCUGCUUCCUUCAGAAAAAGUGUGGGGUGGAGUUCCCGUCGUGGCUCUGUGGUUAAUGAGCCCGACUAGUAUCCAUGAGGCUGUGGGUUCCAUUCCUGGCCUCGAUCAGUGGGUUAAGGAUCUGGCGUUGCCAUGAGCUGUGGUGUAGGUCGCAGAAGCAAUUCGGAUCCCAUGUUGCUGUGGCCCUGACGUAGGCCAGCGGCUACAGCUCCAAUUAGACCCCUAGCCUGGGAACCUCCGUAUGCCAUGGGUGCAGCCCUAAAAAGACAAAAAGAAAAAAAGAAAAAAAA
RNAcentral lists this long non-coding RNA (5286 nucleotides) under Sus scrofa (pig). RNAcentral describes it as "lncRNA (ENSSSCG00060062476.1)". The record is from RNAcentral. Lineage: Eukaryota; Metazoa; Chordata; Mammalia; Artiodactyla; Suidae.